Molecule: ribosomal RNA, 641 nt
Filed under: uncultured Actinomycetes bacterium
Lineage: Bacteria; Bacillati; Actinomycetota; Actinomycetes
Description: bacterial SSU rRNA
Rfam family: Bacterial small subunit ribosomal RNA
Source: RNAcentral
CGCGGCCUAUCAGCUUGUUGGUGGGGUAAUGGCUCACCAAGGCUUCGACGGGUAGCCGGCCUGAGAGGGCGACCGGCCACACUGGGACUGAGAUACGGCCCAGACUCCUACGGGAGGCAGCAGUGGGGAAUAUUGCACAAUGGGCGGAAGCCUGAUGCAGCAACGCCGCGUGCGGGAUGACGGCCUUCGGGUUGUAAACCGCUUUCAUCCAUGACGAAGCUAACGUGACGGUAGUGGGAGAAGAAGCACCGGCCAACUACGUGCCAGCAGCCGCGGUGAUACGUAGGGUGCGAGCGUUGUCCGGAAUUAUUGGGCGUAAAGAGCUUAGGCGGUCUGUCGCGUCGGGUGUGAAAUCCCAGGGCUUAACCCUGGGUCUGCUUCCGAUACGGGCUGACUAGAGGGAGGUAGGGGAGAACGGAAUUCCUGGUGGAGCGGUGGAAUGCGCAGAUAUCAGGAGGAACACCGGUGGCGAAGGCGGUUCUCUGGACCUUUCCUGACGCUGAGAAGCGAAAGCGUGGGGAGCAAACAGGCUUAGAUACCCUGGUAGUCCACGCCGUAAACGGUGGGCACUAGGUGUGGGGCUCAUUCCACGAGUUCCGUGCCGUAGCUAACGCAUUAAGUGCCCCGCCUGGGGAGUACGG